AUUUUGUGAUUCACAGAAUUACCGCGAGUUCUCAGUGAACUCUUAUUCUAUUCUGCAUAUUGUUUUAUCAUGUUGGAUUUUUAUACUUGUUUUAACACGUACAAUAUUGAAUCAUCUGAGAAAAACGCGUUCUCUACGCACUGGUUAUAUUGGACAUCGAAAUUAUUCUACAGAUAAUUGAUUUUCGUUUAUAACGUCAAGAAACUUCAAUAACAAUUCUUGAUCAUUUCAUCAUAUGGAUACGUUUAAUAAGGAAAUCAGUGUUUUAAAGUGAAACGUGAAUCAACAAAAUGGAAUCAUAUCUUAAUUGACGUCAUUUAACAAACAUAUUCUGCUAAUGAAACAUAUUAUGGAAAGAAACUGGAACACAUGGUGAUUUUUCAAAUUGUUUUAAACCGACUGAAAAAUAUAAAAAUUAGUGUGUUAUCGUAAUCAAAUUGGAGCAUGAUGGGAGAAGUGAUCCGAGUUUCUGGACGGGCGCCGGAUGUUGGAGAAUUUCUAAAGGAAGCGAUGCUGUCCCAAAGAUUUGCCGAUGUGACUCUCUGUUGUCCUGGUGGACAAAAAUUCUUGGCACAUCGUUUGGUUCUUUCAGCUGCCAGUCCUUAUUUACAGGAGGUGUUGCUCGCGCACAGCAAAACGUCCACCCAUUGCGAGCCCAUCACGGUGAUCCUUGCAGGGGUGGAGGCCCCGGAAUUGGCAGCGAUCCUCGGCUUCGUGUACACGGGAAGCGCGACGGUCCCUCGCCCUCGUCUCAACGCGUUCCUCCACGCCGCCGAGGCCCUCCACAUCGCGCUUCCGCCCGUCCCCCUCGUAAUGACUUGCGCGCAAUCCGAUUGCAAGCAGGAAGACAUCAAGGACGUGAAGAUCAACCCCAAGUACCUUCGGUGCGAUCAGUAUCCGUGCUGCGACCGUUGGUUGAACCGUCCCCGUUCUAUAAAUCAAGAUGAAGAUCCCGCGGCCAAACGGGAAUCCUAUCCGGCGAUCGAGUCCUUGGAAACCGCGAGAGAAAUCGGACCGCUUCCUGAAUCGAUGAACUUUGCCGGAUCGAGAUACGGGCCAAGUAAAUAUUGCUCUACAACCUCGUACUGGCCCGUUCCUCCUCCUUUCGCGAGCGUCGCGCGGGAAAAGACGGUUCACGGUGUAGAUCAGCAUUCGGAUAAGGAUAAGGGGAGGACGAGUCAGCCGGACGUCGCGCGGUAUCGUCCCAUCUCCGUGGUGGCGAGGAUCGAUAGGGUUGGCGACGUCCCGACUGGGAAUCGCCACUGGGAAAAUCAUUUUAACGGCUGUGAUUUUUCGGAGAAGGCUUUUCGACAGCGCGGCGAGUUGUUAUCCUUCUCGACGGGGACGACCUACGAUCCUCCUCGCGAUGGUGGAUCGGAACAGCCCGAGGCGAGGAUGAGAAGUGGCCGAAGUCCCCGUAUCGGGGACGAAGAAGACGCUCUGGGAAACGAUUUAUCCACGUAUGGUGAUUGUAAUUUGGAGCAAGGGAAGAUUGCCGAGGAUCGUCUUAGCGUGAUUCGUUCUCGGAUCGGCCCCGCUCAGAUUAGAACCGCGCCCAUAUCGGAAUCUACUAGAUCCUGCGAAAGGGCGGAUUUCGGCGAAGAUUUGACGUGUCGUGAGAGUUGUUUCGUCUGGAGAUCGCCGAGGAGACAAGUGGCAAACAGGGUGAUAGAUUCGCCGUGGAAACAGACUGUCAAGCCUUAUCAUUUGCCGAAAAUGCAGCCGAUGGCACUUCUUCAGCCUCACGUCGAGAACGUUAGAAGCGAGGAAAACCUACGUGUGUUGGAAACUACGCGAUCUUCUGUGAUCUCUAUCAGUCCUAAUCGACAGUUCUCUAAAAACUCUGCGGAUCAUUAUUACGGUGUUGAAGUUCCUACUACUCACGAAGUCACGUACCAUAAUGGUAGCAAAUUAUUGGAAGCAAAUUCUACCUUGGUAUCGAGGCCUCAAGAGUUUUAUUCCCCUCAAAUCCCUUCGUCGACGAUUACGCAAAUGGUUACAUCGAUAAACAAUGAUAUCAUAAACAAUGAGACGAUAUUACAAUCUCAAAAUAACGUAAUUUCUACAACGAGAACGUUGCCGUGUCCUAUGGAGAAUAGUCAGAUAAAUAUCAAUAAAAAGGGUGGCUAUUUCGGGCAAACGCUAUCUCAAUCGCCACAGAAGUUAGAAAUUUCUCAUCCUGUUAGCAGACUUUGCGAUACGAUCGAGUCGACCGGUAAAAUCGAUCGUUUUACAAACCUAGAAGUUGAGAACUCGGAGAAAGAGGCGAGAAUCGAUGAUAAGCUUGUUGAGAGAGUUAUUAUCAACAGUGAUAAGAACAAUAAUGAUGCCAUCGUUAGUCAGGAUGCUGUUCAACGGGGAAAAGGAGCACAGGAGAAUCAUAGGUGCGAUCAGUGUGGCAAGACUUUCGUUACCAAAGCCUCUCUAAAGGUGCACGUUAGAACGCAUUCAGGAGAAAAACCUUUUCGUUGUACCGACUGUGGUAAACAAUUUUCACAACUACGAAAUUACAAGUACCACCGAAGCGUGCAUGAGGGCACUAGAGAAUUCGCAGCGACCUGUCCAGAAUGCGGCAAAUAUUUCAACGACCGUGGCUAUCUAAGUUCCCAUAUGAAGAUUCAUCGUAACCGAAAAGAAUAUGGAUGCGCGGAAUGUGGUAAAAGUUUUAAUCAGCGAGUCGCUUACAAUAUGCAUGUUAGAAUCCAUACCGGAGUAAAACCGCAUCAAUGUGAACAAUGUGGAAAAGCAUUUUCUAGGAAAAUGUUGUUAAAACAACAUCUUAGAACGCAUUCCGGGGAACGGCCUUAUCAGUGUCAAGUUUGUCAAAAAGCUUUCGCCGAUAGAUCGAAUAUGACGUUACACACGAGAUUACAUUCUGGAUUAAAACCGUAUCAAUGUACGUUAUGUUCUAAAGCGUUCACGAAGAAACAUCAUCUAAAAACUCAUCUUAAUUAUCAUACAGGGACUAAACCUUAUUCUUGUCCAAAUUGUGGAUUAAGAUUUUCUCAAAGUAGUAAUAUGAGGACUCAUUUUAAAAAAUGUACCGUUAAUAAUCUGAUGGAAACGAACAGUUCACAAUUGGAAGGUAUUGUGAGAGACUCGUCUAAGACUGUACAAACGCGAAUAAUCUCGAGAACACCUACUGAUACGUUAACACCACCUAAUUCGGAUCAAGAAUUAAGUAUUUUAACACCGAUUUCUAAAAGUAAUGGAAUAGAAGGGAAUUGUAACGAUAACAUAAGAGAUGCUAUUAAACCGUCUAUGUGAUUGUUAAGUAUUCGAAGAGAUAUUUUAGCGGUUAGUUAGAUAAAGAAAUAACAAGUACAUAUAUUCUUCGACUCGAUGAAAUCAAUCUGUGUGACAAAUUGAAGAAAUGAAGUACACGUCGCGGUUAUGAAUCAGACUUGUAUCAUGAAAUUUAGAUUCUCUAUAGGAUUGACAAUCGCAAAAUGUGUAGCUGGUUUUUAUAAUCAACGGAGCAACCAUUGUACAAAGAUGCUUUUUGCCCGGUGUUUUCAAGAUAAGUGGUUAAAACGAUAAGUGCUUGACGAGGCAAUUCAAUGAAUAAAUCGAUCGAAUUGCUACAGCCUGCAAAUGUAAUCGAACGAUAGAAAGUAUUAGAUUCGUUUGAAAGUAGCACUGUCAAUUGGUAAUCCGAGAGUUACCAUAACAGUACGAACGACCGCCUUUUCCUAGAAAUCGUUGUUUUACGAUUGAUAAGUACUUUAACAAAUAUUUUUCAGCAGGAAAGAAUAAUUUUAAUUCCAUUAUCAAUCAAAGGUAACUUAAUACGGCUUAACCAUUUCCAUCCUGGAAUUAUCUUGAUAUACUCAUCUAGAAAAACUUUCUAGUCAAGAUCAAAGUAAAAGCAUCUGGAUAGAGGAUCCUUUUUAAAAAAACGGUUUCUUCGAGCUGUUCAAGAUCGUAUCGUAUCGAAGAUAGUUCUUCUACUCUCUCUUGAGGAACGGAAGUUUUGUAUACAUAUAUAUAUAUACGACUCUAAGCUACUAUCUCAUUGAAAACGUCUCGUUGCUCUGUAGUAUCUGACAGUUCCGUUUGCGGGACCUUUCGUGACCUUAUUUUAUGGAAAUAUUUAUGAACGACAUGAAAUUCUAGCGAUCUAAAGAGGCCAAGAGCGAAUUAAUAAACGAAAUCCGGUAAGAAUUUAUACUUUAUUUGAUUUAAAUAUAAGAGAUUUUAAUUCGGAGAUCGAAAUUAAUAUCUGGACUUGAAAGAUUAUAAUCACUCCAAUAUAUAAAAUGGCGAACGAAAAAAAAUCAAGAAAUCCUUUCCUUCUUGCAAUUAGGGAAUGUAUCUUUCUAUAAUCUCAAAAUAAUUAUUUUUUCUUUAGAAAUACAUAUAAAAUGAUACAUCAGAUAAGAAAAAUAUUUUAUCAGAUCUUGAAUUCGAAUCACCCAUGUCCACACAGUUUCGAAAUAUAAAAAUAUUUUUAAGAAUCGAAAAACC
Molecule: RNA transcript, 4467 nt
Organism: Apis laboriosa (Himalayan honeybee)
Lineage: Eukaryota; Metazoa; Arthropoda; Insecta; Hymenoptera; Apidae
Exons: 8
Source: RefSeq, a predicted model, not a curated record